RNAcentral lists this antisense RNA (75 nucleotides) under Allonocardiopsis opalescens. RNAcentral's name for it is "ASpks TB sRNA". It matches the Rfam family "ASpks TB sRNA". Lineage: Bacteria; Bacillati; Actinomycetota; Actinomycetes; Streptosporangiales. The record is from Rfam by way of RNAcentral.
CUUGAUCGAGCCCAGGUACAGCGGCCGCCCCUCGGGCCGGUCCUGGCCGUAGGUGUCCAGCAGCGCCUGCGCCUC